This 287-nucleotide unclassified non-coding RNA is filed under the name uncultured fungus. RNAcentral's name for it is "partial contains 5.8S ribosomal RNA, internal transcribed spacer 2, and large subunit ribosomal RNA". The stretch from base 1 to 52 matches the Rfam family "5.8S ribosomal RNA", at positions 103 to 154 of the family's 154-position model. Lineage: Eukaryota; Fungi. The record is from RNAcentral.
AACGCAAAUUGCACUCUCUGGUAUUCCAGAGAGUAUGCCUAUUUGAGGGUCGGUUUAAGCAAAUAUCGGUAUGUUCUUUUUGAACAUGUCGGAAUUGGGUGAUCUCUGACCUUUUCGAGUUUGAGUAACCUAAAAUUUAUCAUUACUUCGGUAUGAUUACGUACUAAAAUUUGUCGUUUGAAAUAUCGAAACGUAUUUACUAGAUGUAACCAUUAAUUGCAAUGGUAUUACGUCUAUAAUUUUCGAGUUUCGACCUCAAAUUAGGUAAGAAUACCCGCUGAACUUAA